RNAcentral lists this non-coding RNA (29 nucleotides) under Homo sapiens (human). The record is from RNAcentral. Lineage: Eukaryota; Metazoa; Chordata; Mammalia; Primates; Hominidae.
AGAAACUGGAGUCAUACACUGAAGGUGGG